UUUAGUCCAAUAGUCCACCCUUGAUUCUCGAUAAAAAAUAACGUAUCAUUCACAUAUAAAAACACCUAACACUUUACGUGGGUGGUUAGCCAUUUUAAUUAAGGUUAAUUAAUUAGAACAUUAAGGGACGCUAAAUGUAGUUGACCGGAACGACCUGUAUUUCUUUAUUAACCCACUAAUCAAGUUUGAUUUUCCGUUUAUUUUAUUAUUUCUCAAAGUCAUUACGAGUAGUACCCCUAUCAUAUUACCAAAAGCUCUAAAACACGAUAUGCUUAUGCAUAAAUAACAACAUUUUCAACAACAUUGGUGGAAUAUGAAUGCUAAACUAUUAAAUUCAAAUAGUUUGGUACAUAUAAUUAACGAAGAAGAAUCGCUGUUGAACGGGAGUUAGGAAGCACGAUAUCAGGAGUGUUAGGUAGCCUCCCCCUACAAAAGAAAAAUGUUUACUUCAAACAAAACAAUAUAAUUCCCCGGACAAAGGUAAUAAUACUAUUAUAUUACUUUUGCGCUUGAUUAUUCGGGCUAUCUUCAUUUUGUCAUCAGUAUUAAACUAAUACAAUUUUUCUAUUAAAUAUGUAAAAAGGAACCAAAUAUGUGAAUCUUCUUUUUUUUUCUUUUUUUUUUGUCACAAAUAUGUGAAUAUUCUUAUUAGUACAAUUUUCUUGUAAUUUUGUUGUAUUAUUAAUUUGCUAAUUUUUUCAGACUUGUUUUAUAUUAAUUCCAAUAUUACUAUAUGGUAUAUAUAUACUAUAAACUAGUAGAGAAUCACAACCACAUCUAUAAAAGAUAUUAUCCAGAUAAUCAGGUAUGUUGAAUUUCUAUAAUAUUAUUUGAGAAGUAAGUUUCUUUCGUGUCAUAUUCACGCUCGCAUUAAUUCUCACGAUGGUUGAUUACAAAUGUACUUUUAAUAAAUUUAAAAUAUUACCAUUAAAUUACCAUUAUUAAAUUUAUUUUCUUUUUUUAUUUGGUAUUUUCUGUUAAUUAGAUUUUAAUUUAAUUACUUUUUUAUUUUUUUCCAAU
RNAcentral lists this long non-coding RNA (1020 nucleotides) under Brassica rapa (field mustard). Its description in RNAcentral is "long non-coding RNA (BRAP_LNC000641)". Lineage: Eukaryota; Viridiplantae; Streptophyta; Magnoliopsida; Brassicales; Brassicaceae. The record is from RNAcentral.